Long non-coding RNA from Equus caballus (horse), 2359 nucleotides. Lineage: Eukaryota; Metazoa; Chordata; Mammalia; Perissodactyla; Equidae. The record is from Ensembl.
CAGGAUUAGUAGAGGCUGGGUUAGUAAGUCAGAGCACACACCAGCGGACAGGGCACCUCAGCAGACACACGCGGGAGUCACUAGGAGAGAAGGAAGAGCACACGCAGGUCUGUUAGUUUGUUAAAGGAUGAUCGGGGCGCCGCUGGGCACCCCCGGGUUAGACGGGUUAGUAACCGAACAAAAGAGCUGCCUACGGAGAAGAAAGCUGAGGAGGAGGAAGAAUGGGGGGAAGAGACGGUUAGGGGUUCCAAGCGAGAGUCUGGCCCCAGGCAGAAGGGUCUGUGUGCAGAACACCCAGAGGGACCAGGGCCUAGGCAGGGGACGUGAUCAACCAGGUUUUCUGGGCCUCCCAUGCCCACCCUUAUAUUUUUUUUUAAUUACCUGCCAUGUGCCAAGACCUUUAUAUUCACGGGAAUCCCACUGCAAUCUGUGAAGGAAGGAUCAGUCCUCCCAUCUGAGGAAACUGGGGUUCAGAGAGGUGAGGGCACUUGCCCAAAGUCGCCCAGCACAAAGUGGCAGGGUUGGUGGCGAGUCCUGUUUGCAUGCCCUGUCCUGGAAUGCGGGUCUGCACAGAGAUCCCAGGCCACAGGCAGGGCCUUCCGGAGCCUCGUCUGCCCCCACGUCCCAGCCCCCUGAAAGGCCCAUGAGCUCCAAGAAGCUCUCAGCUAAGCCACAUCUUUCUCAUCCUUCGUGGCCCUGCUUGGUUCUGCCUCGCUGGGAAGCCUGUCCAGCCUGCUGCAGCCCGCACUGGGAUCUUACUCCCAGCCCCUAAACACUCCGAACCUGUGCCUCAGUGGACCGUUUUAUGCCCCAUUGUCCAAUUCUCCAUGUGAGCUGGUUGUCUCCCGCGUGGGAUGGCCAGAUUGUCCCCUGUGUUCCCUCAAAAGGCCUAACACAGGGAAGGACCCACGAGAAGGGGCCAUGUGAGGACACGGUAGGAAGGUGCCACCUGCAGCCAAGGAGAGAGGCCUCAGCGGAAACCACCCCUGGCAUCUUGAUCAUGGACCUCCAGCCUCCAGAACUGCAAGAAAAUGCCUUUCUGCUUUUGAAGCCCCCCGGUCUGGGGUAUUCUGUGAUGGCAGCCAAGCCGACUCAUGCAGGCCCCCUCCCCUGCCAGGAAAAUGAUGAGGGGCUUUGAAGAAAGGCUGAGGCUGCUCCAGGACAAGCACUGGGACCGGCCCCCUGGAGGGAUUGGCCUAAGGGGAGACCCGGAAGGGGCCGGAAGUGAGUCUGCAGCCGUGUGAUGGGGAGGCUGCAUGUGGCUGGGCCCGCCUGCCUGCCUUUGCUGCCCAAGGACACAAUUGGAGAUUGGUGCAACAAGGAGCAGGGGGCUGACAUCAGGCUGGGGGGACCCCUCAAGCCUUGGGGCCAGGGGGGUUCUAGCCCAUUCUCUUUGGACGGUGGGAACAAAGCCCAGUGUCUGUCUCCUUCUGGCGACCUCCCCUGGCCUAGGUCCCCUCAUCUCUAGGAAACUCUCCCCCUUCAAGGCGGCACACCCUCUCCCCUCCAGCUGCCCCUCCCAGAGCUCGGCGACACGGAGGAAGGCCCCCGCUCCCCCGACCCUGCCUGCCUCCUCCCUGUGACCAUCAGGAAGAGGAGAAGCACAGAGAAGCCCCAUCCAAAAGGCACCCCCCAAAAUAAGAAUCGCUCACAUGACAAACAGCACAUGAGACUCCAGCCCACAGCACCCCCGAGCUGCGACGCCCCCCCCACCCCCAACCCCUGGCAGCUCCUCCGGAUUCCCAGCCUGCUUUCCUGCGUCCGUCCUGGAGGGUCCUUUGAGACCCGGCCUUGGGGACGGGGUGGUCAGUGGGGUUCGGGCCGAGCUCUGUCUGGUCGUGAGCAGGGAUGCCGGGAGGAAUGAAGUCCACACGGGGUCAGGAAGGGUCUCCGGGCCCGGACAGGCAGGCCCAGCAGCCAGGCCCUGUGCUUGGCUGAGCUCCAGCCAGGAGGGGGCCUCUAUCCACAGGAGGCUUCAUCCCGGGAGCUGGAAAGGAUAAGGUCUUCGGGGAAUUGUUGAGGGCUCCAGAAAAGCACCGAAGGUUCCUCCGUGUGUCCUCGUGGCUGGAGUCCAGAGUCGCCCGGGCUCCAAAGAGAAGACCAGGCCAAGAGUCUUGGAGACACAGCUGGGGCAGAGUGGCCUGGAGGAGACACAGCGAGCUCGGAGGAGGGCACAGCCUCCGUGCCCAGCUCUCCAUACCCCCAGUCUAACCCCACCUCCGAGGGGGGCACCUUCAGAGACCCCAGUCUCCCUCCUGUGCCCCCAACACCUAGACAGGGUGGGGUUGACGGCCUUGGACACUAAAACCUUUUAGAGGAAACUCAGGAAUAGAGAGGAAGCAAUGGAAGCCACGGAUAC